CUUUUGAAUUGUGUCGCUACGCUUUUUAUAAUGACAUCCCCAAUGGGAUGACAGUCACGUGACAGUUCAUUCCGGCGGGAAUCGCAAUGCUGCAGGUUUUUAGAGUUUCCAUGAGAGAACGUGGAUUUUGAUGAUUACAGGUUAUGUUGAGUCAUGGACACAAAAGCGUCCGCGCCUGUGCGAACUCGCAAGAGGAGGAAGAUAUGUGAAUGGUACGAGAUGACGUGAUCGACGUGCGUGUGUGAAUAUGUGCAAAGGAUGAUGCUGAAGGGGCGGUUUUCCAUCCAAAUAGGCACAGUGGUUAUUAGUUGUGUAACUCCAGUUUCUGGUCUAUGGAAAGUGGUGAAACGUCUUCACGAAAUACAAUUUCAUU
Molecule: unclassified non-coding RNA, 373 nt
Filed under: Bombus terrestris (buff-tailed bumblebee)
Lineage: Eukaryota; Metazoa; Arthropoda; Insecta; Hymenoptera; Apidae
Description: misc RNA ENSBTSG00005030523.1
Source: RNAcentral